RNAcentral lists this ribosomal RNA (800 nucleotides) under uncultured Acidobacteriota bacterium. Its description in RNAcentral is "bacterial SSU rRNA". It matches the Rfam family "Bacterial small subunit ribosomal RNA", at positions 72 to 853 of the family's 1533-position model. The record is from RNAcentral. Lineage: Bacteria; Pseudomonadati; Acidobacteriota.
UUUCCUCGCAAGGGGAAACUGAGUGGCGAACGGGUGAGUAACGCGUGGGUGACCUACCUUCGAGUGGGGGAUAACGUCCCGAAAGGGACGCUAAUACCGCAUGACAUCCUGUCCUUGAACGGAUGGAGAUCAAAGCUGGGGAUCGUAAGACCCGGCGCUUGAUGAGGGGCCCGCGUCCGAUUAGCUAGUUGGUGGGGUAACGGCUCACCAAGGCGACGAUCGGUAUCCGGCCUGAGAGGGCGGACGGACACACUGGGACUGAGACACGGCCCAGACUCCUACGGGAGGCAGCAGUGGGGAAUUGUUCGCAAUGGGCGCAAGCCUGACGACGCAAUGCCGCGUGGAGGAUGAAGGUCUUCGGAUUGUAAACUCCUGUUGCCAGGGACGAAUGGCUCCGACCUAAUACGUCGGAGAAUGACGGUACCUGGUGAGGAAGCCCCGGCUAACUCUGUGCCAGCAGCCGCGGUAAUACAGAGGGGGCAAGCGUUGUUCGGAAUUACUGGGCGUAAAGGGCGCGUAGGCGGCCUCUUAAGUCGAACGUGAAAUCCCCGGGCUCAACCCGGGAACUGCGUCCGAUACUGGGGGGCUUGAAUCCGGGAGAGGGAUGUGGAAUUCCAGGUGUAGCGGUGAAAUGCGUAGAUAUCUGGAGGAACACCGGUGGCGAAGGCGGCAUCCUGGACCGGUAUUGACGCUGAGGCGCGAAAGCCAGGGGAGCAAACGGGAUUAGAUACCCCGGUAGUCCUGGCCCUAAACGAUGAAUGCUUGGUGUGGCGGGUAUCGAUCCCUGCCGUGCCGAAGCU